Long non-coding RNA from Neofelis nebulosa (Clouded leopard), 1072 nucleotides. RefSeq lists it as uncharacterized. The record is from RefSeq and is a predicted model, not a curated record. The transcript is spliced from 9 exons. Lineage: Eukaryota; Metazoa; Chordata; Mammalia; Carnivora; Felidae.
ACGAGGACUGGGAUCUUUGUGGUUUUGCUAUAUUCACCCGACAGCGAAUCCAGCGUGUGUGGCGGUGUGAUUCCUUUCUGCCACGCUAACUCACUCUGCAGCAGUUUCCGUGGGUGAGGAAUCCAGCCCAGCCUGACUGAAUGCCUCUCUUCAGAGUCUCUCCCAAGUCUGCAAUCAAGGGGUCAGCCGGGAUGGCAGCCUUCUCAAGGCUCAACGAGGGGAGGAUCCAAUUCCAAGGAUGAAAUGGAUUCUAGAGAUGGCUGAUUGUAAUGGCUACACAACAAAAUGAAUGCACUUAGGUCUCGAAAACUCCAGAACAUCACAGGCAACCUGCCCAAGUUUCCUGAGGGAGAAGCCAGACCGGGAGAGACUUUGUCGUCAUGAUUCCUACAAGGACCAACAAUUGAGAAUCUGGCAGUAUUUGCACAUAUUGUAGGAACGAAAAAGAAAGGAGCAAAUGGACACAAUCACCUCCAAAAAGUGAUAACAUUCAAUAAUAAGAUGACACUGGCUGACAUUCAGAAGACAUUGGAUAUCUUCUCUUCUAGGGCUUGGAAUUUUUCUACCCAGCUAAGAAGGCAACAACCCCAAGAUCCCUCCAUGGAAAUGGCGCUGAGUGUGUGAUCCUGCAGACAUAUUGCCACCAAGGGAAUACCUGCCUGAGAAGGACCAGAAGCAGAAAGUGGAGCCCAAUACAGAAGGAGUGGGGACCUAACGAUAUACUUUCAGGUGUCUCUCAGGGUCUCAGGCUUCCUAAUUGAAAUGUGCCGAAGCAAUUGAAAUGUGGUACCUCAAUUACUGUCAGACACCGUAACCUUUAGACCAGCUAGAAUCUUGUCGUGAGAGGAGACCGUGUACGUUGGUGAAAGUUUAGAAAAAAGAAUCCCCCUUGUUCAAUCAGCUAACAAAGACCCAUGGAGUAGCCCGGUGGGGGCCCCAAAGAAGAUGCAAAGAAGAAAAACACAAUCUUUGCCCUGAAGGAGUCGUCAUCUUUUGAGGAAACAAAACAUCAUGUCAUAGUUAUACUGUAGUGAGCUCAAGCUCUCAAACCCAAUAAAAUAUGGGAUAUUCA